Long non-coding RNA from Neofelis nebulosa (Clouded leopard), 1121 nucleotides. RefSeq lists it as uncharacterized. The record is from RefSeq and is a predicted model, not a curated record. NCBI's taxonomy places the organism in Eukaryota, Metazoa, Chordata, Mammalia, Carnivora, Felidae. The transcript has 3 exons.
CCCCACGCUCCCAGGGCCCCGCCGCCCCCACUGCUUGGUUCCCAAGUCUUCAGCGCUCCCCCCACCGCCUCGUCUCUCGUGUUUACCUCUCCUCCCCGCCCCCCCCCCUCCCCUUUCCACGUUCCACCUCGGCCGCUUCCUCCCCCGGCCGGGGCUCUCCUCCUUCCGACCUCUGGUUUUCUGCUCCAAGAAGAAGGCGGGCCAGUUUCGCAACUCAGAAGGGGAAAAGAAACCGAUUACACACAGCUGCCACCCGUCGCCCUUGUCAAACAUCGGGUUCCCUCCCGCACAUGAUCUCAUUUAAUCCUCAAAUCAUCCUUGAACAGGUGCGUUAAACGGUAACAUGACGAACAGGAAUAUGUAUUGCCUGUCCUUCUGUCUUUUCGCGAUAGGGUGCUAACACAAUGAGCUGUGUUCUUCUUUUUACUCUGCCACGGCCCAUUCAUUCGCUAGGAUUGACAACCUGGUGUGCGUUGAUCUUAACCAUAAAUCAGUUUCUGACGGUGUCUUGGAUGUGCACGGGGCCUUGUAGACUCAAGCUAACGUUACUGCUUCUGUUGCACCCUUGUUGAAACGUCUGUGAAGAAGCACUAGCAGGUUAAGGAUCCCCAACUUUGGAAAAGGAACGUGAUGUGAAACUAGAAUUCUCUGUUAAAAAGGGGCCAAGGCCGACUGCCCCCAAGACGUGCCACUUUGGUCACGCAGAUUAUGCCGAGCUGAAAACAAUCCAGGCCCAGAAGACGCAGGGAGAAAUUUUGACCUUGCCCCCAAAACCGCCUCAAAGAAAUGAGAUUGGGGACGUGCUCCAGGAAGGGAGCCGUUGCCAUAUUUACCUACAUUAUAAUGUGAAGUAGGUGUGGUAGAGAGCGAGGAAUUCAGCAAGCUCUGGUUGAUCAAAAUCUUCCCUGUGUCCCAUUGUUUCUGGAUGACCCAGUCAAUAUUUACUUACCACGUUCGCUCUUUUUCAUUCUUCCUGUGAGCACCCCUUCCCUUUGUAGUUUCAGACUCCUUCCUCCUCCUUAGUUCAGGGUGACUUCGCACUGCCUGGCUGUCUUUGGAAUCUUACGUGUGUGUGUGGAUUCCCUGUGCCCCUGAAAUUAAAUUUGAUUUUCUCCUGUUAA